ACUCAAAUGAAUUGACGGGGGCCCGCACAAGCAGUGGAGCAUGUGGUUUAAUUCGAUGCAACGCGAAGAACCUUACCUAGGCUUGAAACGCAUAUUAAAUUCAGUGAAAGCUGUUGUCCCGCAAGGGGAAUAUGUACAGGUGCUGCAUGGCUGUCGUCAGCUCGUGCCGUGAGGUGUUGGGUUAAGUCCCGCAACGAGCGCAACCCUCGUCCUUAGUUGCCAUCAAGUAAUGUUGGGCACUCUAAGGAGACUGCCUACGCAAGUAGUGAGGAAGGUGGGGAUGAUGUCAAGUCCGCAUGGCCCUUACGCCUAGGGCCACACACGUGCUACAAUGGCCAUCACAAAGGGUCGCAAUACCGCAAGGUGGAGCCAAUCCCUAAAAAAUGGUCUCAGUUCGGAUUGGAGUCUGCAACUCGACUCCAUGAAGCUGGAAUUGCUAGUAAUCGCUGAUCAGAACGCAGCGGUGAAUACGUUCCCGGGCCUUGUACACACCGCCCGU
RNAcentral lists this ribosomal RNA (499 nucleotides) under uncultured bacterium. RNAcentral describes it as "partial 16S ribosomal RNA". It matches the Rfam family "Bacterial small subunit ribosomal RNA", at positions 899 to 1397 of the family's 1533-position model. The record is from RNAcentral.